GAUGGACCCGCGUUGGAUUAGCUAGUUGGCAGGGUAACGGCCUACCAAGGCGACGAUCCAUAGCCGGCCUGAGAGGGUGAACGGCCACAUUGGGACUGAGACACGGCCCAGACUCCUACGGGAGGCAGCAGUGGGGAAUAUUGCACAAUGGGGGAAACCCUGAUGCAGCGACGCCGCGUGAAGGAAGAAGUAUCUCGGUAUGUAAACUUCUAUCAGCAGGGAAGAUAGUGACGGUACCUGACUAAGAAGCCCCGGCUAACUACGUGCCAGCAGCCGCGGUAAUACGUAGGGGGCAAGCGUUAUCCGGAUUUACUGGGUGUAAAGGGAGCGUAGACGGACUGGCAAGUCUGAUGUGAAAGGCGGGGGCUCAACCCCUGGACUGCAUUGGAAACUGUUAGUCUUGAGUGCCGGAGAGGUAAGCGGAAUUCCUAGUGUAGCGGUGAAAUGCGUAGAUAUUAGGAGGAACACUCGUGGCGAAGGCGGGUUCCUGGACAUUAACUGACGCUGAGGCACGAAGGCCAGGGGAGCGAAAGGGAUUAGAUACCCCUGUAGUCCUGGCAGUAAACGGUGCACGCUUGGUGUGCGGGGAAUCGACCCCCUGCGUGCCGGAGCUAACGCGUUAAGCGUGCCGCCUGGGGAGUACGGUCGCAAGAUUAAAACUCAAAGAAAUUGACGGGGACCCGCACAAGCGGUGGAGUAUGUGGCUUAAUUCGAUGCAACGCGAAGAACCUUACCUGGGCUUGACAUGUAAUGAACAACAUGUGAAAGCAUGCGACUCUUCGGAGGCGUUACACAGGUGCUGCAUGGCCGUCGUCAGCUCGUGUCGUGAGAUGUUUGGUUAAGUCCAGCAACGAGCGCAACCCCUGUUGCCAGUUACCAGCACGUGAAGGUGGGGACUCUGGCGAGACUGCCCAGAUCAACUGGGAGGAAGGUGGGGACGACGUCAGGUCAGUAUGGCCCUUAUGCCCAGGGCUGCACACGUACUACAAUGCCCAGUACAGAGGGGGCCGAAGCCGCGAGGCGGAGGAAAUCCUAAAAACUGGGCCCAGUUCGGACUGUAGGCUGCAACCCGCCUACACGAAGCCGGAAUCGCUAGUAAUGGCGCAUCAGCUACGGCGCCGUGAAUACGUUCCCGGGUCUUGCACACACCGCCCGUCA
Molecule: ribosomal RNA, 1158 nt
Filed under: uncultured bacterium
Lineage: Bacteria
Description: bacterial SSU rRNA
Rfam family: Bacterial small subunit ribosomal RNA
Source: RNAcentral